GAAAUGCGAUAAGUAAUGUGAAUUGCAGAAUUCAGUGAAUCAUCGAAUCUUUGAACGCACAUUGCGCCCAUUAGUAUUCUAGUGGGCAUGCCUGUUCGAGCGUCAUUUCAACCCCUAAGCACAGCUUAUUGUUGGGCGUCUACGUCUGUAGUGCCACAAAGACAUUGGCGGAGCGGCAGCAGUCCUCUGAGCGUAGUAAUUCUUUAUCUCGCUUCUGUUAGGCGCUGCACCCCCGGCCGUAAAACCCCCAAUUUUUUCUGGUUGACCUCGGAUCAGGUAGGAAUACCCGCUGAACUUAAGC
RNAcentral lists this unclassified non-coding RNA (301 nucleotides) under plant metagenome. Its description in RNAcentral is "partial contains 5.8S ribosomal RNA, internal transcribed spacer 2, and large subunit ribosomal RNA". The stretch from base 1 to 105 matches the Rfam family "5.8S ribosomal RNA", at positions 50 to 154 of the family's 154-position model. The record is from RNAcentral.